This 550-nucleotide long non-coding RNA is filed under the name Cricetulus griseus (Chinese hamster). Its description in RNAcentral is "lncRNA (ENSCGRG00015042478.1)". The record is from RNAcentral. Lineage: Eukaryota; Metazoa; Chordata; Mammalia; Rodentia; Cricetidae.
AGAUUAUGGUGUUCAUGCAUACUUUCUGUGGGCAGCUUGUUCAAGGUCUCCAGGGUCCUACUUUGUUGAGAUGAGAAGUAGAAAGGGGGAAAGAUGGAAUGUUAACAUCAAGUUUUCCAGCCAAGUUGAAUAAAGUGUCCCAUUGGCUUCUUGGACACAUCUGCAAGGAUGUCCAAACGCACACCAUCAGCUCUUACAUAUCAUCCUACAAUGUGCUCCAAGUCUCUGUUACUGGCCUUUUCCUGCCAAGCUCACCAGCCCAUCUUCAUGUUUCUAAGAAGUUUCAGCUUGGGACUUUCCUUCAGUCAAAGGAGUUCAGCUCAGUGCUUAGCUGUGGAUCUCUGUUUCUACUUCCAUCAGCUACUGGACGAAGGUUCUGUGAUGUCAUUUAAGCAUGCUGGAAGAUGAGUGCUGAAGAAUGCCCAUUACUGUAGUUCCCUUUGGUUCUGCAAUUGAUUUAUACCAACUAUAAGCAGCCCCACCCCUUCCAGUCUAUGUCGCAUCUAAAAUAUCCGUCCUUCUUCCUCCCCCCUAUAACCAAAUGUCCCAC